GACGAACGCUGGCGGCGUGCUUAACACAUGCAAGUCGAACGGAAAGGCCCUGCUUUUGUGGGGUGCUCGAGUGGCGAACGGGUGAGUAACACGUGAGUAACCUGCCCUUGACUUUGGGAUAACUUCAGGAAACUGGGGCUAAUACCGGAUAGGAGCUCCUGCUGCAUGGUGGGGGUUGGAAAGUUUCGGCGGUUGGGGAUGGACUCGCGGCUUAUCAGCUUGUUGGUGGGGAAGUGGCUUACCAAGGCUUUGACGGGUAGCCGGCCUGAGAGGGUGACCGGCCACAUUGGGACUGAGAUACGGCCCAGACUCCUACGGGAGGCAGCAGUGGGGAAUAUUGCACAAUGGGCGGAAGCCUGAUGCAGCAACGCCGCGUGCGGGAUGACGGCCUUCGGGUUGUAAACCGCUUUCGCCUGUGACGAAGCGUGAGUGACGGUAAUGGGUAAUGAAGCACCGGCUAACUACGUG
This 468-nucleotide ribosomal RNA is filed under the name uncultured bacterium. RNAcentral's name for it is "partial 16S ribosomal RNA". It matches the Rfam family "Bacterial small subunit ribosomal RNA", at positions 28 to 507 of the family's 1533-position model. The record is from RNAcentral.